Long non-coding RNA from Entelurus aequoreus (snake pipefish), 532 nucleotides. RefSeq lists it as uncharacterized. The record is from RefSeq and is a predicted model, not a curated record. The transcript has 3 exons. Lineage: Eukaryota; Metazoa; Chordata; Actinopteri; Syngnathiformes; Syngnathidae.
GUUUUAUGCCACUUCUUUUUCUGUCUCAUUUUGUCCACCACACUGUUAACGUUGUGCGUGAAGGCACAAAGGCUUGCAUCCCAGGUCUGGUAGAUGAGCACAGAUGUCAUCGAUUUGUUGUUGAGAGCGUCUUCCACGUGCUCCACCCGCAGUCGAAGCGUGACCCCCGCCCGGGCCACGGCGCAACGCCCGUCCCCAAACCGGGGCGCCCCCGCGGCGAAGCGAGACGCAGAGCCGGCACGCCCGCAGCGGGGCCCCGGGUCGUCGCUCCACUCCACGCCCCAAGAGAGACACCGGCGCCGGGGAAGCACCCCCAGGGGGUACGGAACCGCACGGCACGACAUCAGCUGACAACUAUUGGGGACGCCUCCCAGGAACGAGUGGAAGACGGGGACUGCUCCAACUGUCCUAGCACUGGCUGACUGAGGUGCGUCCGUGUGUCCUGCCACCCAAACCGCCAAAGUGUAUGAUCACCAAUUAGACGACUCAUAAUAGGAGCCUUUUGACUCUUAUAUAUGGUGGGACUCAAGGU